RNAcentral lists this ribosomal RNA (452 nucleotides) under uncultured bacterium. RNAcentral's name for it is "bacterial SSU rRNA". It matches the Rfam family "Bacterial small subunit ribosomal RNA", at positions 9 to 507 of the family's 1533-position model. The record is from RNAcentral.
GGGUUUGAUUCUGGCUCAGGAUGAACGCUGGCGGCGUGCUUAACACAUGCAAGUCGAACGAACCUUAGGGUUAGUGGCGGACGGGUGAGUAACGCGUGAGAAUCUGCCCUCAGGAGGGGGAUAACAGCUGGAAACGGCUGCUAAUACCCCAUAUGCCGCGAGGUGAAAUGAAUUUCGCCUGAGGAUGAGCUCGCGUCUGAUUAGCUAGUUGGUGUAGGUAAUGGCUCACCAAGGCAUCGAUCAGUAGCUGGUCUGAGAGGAUGAUCAGCCACACUGGGACUGAGACACGGCCCAGACUCCUACGGGAGGCAGCAGUGGGGAAUUUUCCGCAAUGGGCGAAAGCCUGACGGAGCAACGCCGCGUGAGGGAUGAAGGCCUCUGGGCUGUAAACCUCUUUUAUCAAGGAAGAAGAUCUGACGGUACUUGAUGAAUAAGCCACGGCUAAUUCCGUG